Lagopus leucura (white-tailed ptarmigan) is the source of this 271-nucleotide long non-coding RNA. RefSeq lists it as uncharacterized. The record is from RefSeq and is a predicted model, not a curated record. Lineage: Eukaryota; Metazoa; Chordata; Aves; Galliformes; Phasianidae. The transcript is spliced from 3 exons.
GGCUGUCCCUUUCUUAAAAGGAAACUGCCACAAAAGCAUCACAGUAUGAUGGUGUUUAGGAGAGACACUCGGAGGACAGAACAAGACAAUCUGGGUUGAAGCCAUAAUAAUGAGAGAGCCACAGCUGUGUAUGAAGGGCUCUUGGCCAUGCUGAAGAGAACUGGCAAUUUGGGGUGAGAAAGUUAGUUGAAGAGCUGAAAAAAUCAAUUGGUUGCACCACUCCUGUCCUGAAGCCUUGGAAAAUUACUCUCUAGAGACAACAGCUAUAGGA